UACGUAGGGGGCAAGCGUUGUCCGGAAUCAUUGGGCGUAAAGAGCGUGUAGGCGGCUCGGUAAGUCCGCUGUGAAAGUCCAGGGCUCAACCCUGGAAUGCCGGUGGAAACUGUCGAGCUAGAGUCCGGAAGAGGCGAGUGGAAUUCCUGGUGUAGCGGUGAAAAUGCGCAGAUAUCAGGAGGAACACCAAUGGCGAAGGCAGCUCGCUGGGACGGUACUGACGCUGAGACGCGAAAGCGUGGGGAGCAAACAGG
RNAcentral lists this ribosomal RNA (254 nucleotides) under uncultured bacterium. RNAcentral describes it as "partial 16S ribosomal RNA". It matches the Rfam family "Bacterial small subunit ribosomal RNA", at positions 524 to 776 of the family's 1533-position model. The record is from RNAcentral.